CAGCCGCCACGGUAAUACGUAGGUCCCGAGCGUUGUCCGGAUUUAUUGGGCGUAAAGCGAGCGCAGGCGGUUAGAUAAGUCUGAAGUUAAAGGCUGUGGCUUAACCAUAGUACGCUUUGGAAACUGUUUAACUUGAGUGCAGAAGGGGAGAGUGGAAUUCCAUAUGUAGCGGUGAAAUGCGUAGAUAUAUGGAGGAACACCGGUGGCGAAAGCGGCUCUCUGGUCUGUAACUGACUCUGAGGCUCGAAAGCGUGGGGAGCAAACAGGAUUAGAUACCCCCGUAGUCCCUGUCUCUUAUACA
This 301-nucleotide ribosomal RNA is filed under the name uncultured bacterium. RNAcentral's name for it is "partial 16S ribosomal RNA". It matches the Rfam family "Bacterial small subunit ribosomal RNA", at positions 509 to 808 of the family's 1533-position model. The record is from RNAcentral.